GAUGAACGCUGGCGGCGUGCCUAAUACAUGCAAGUCGAGCGAACAGACGAGGAGCUUGCUCCUCUGACGUUAGCGGCGGACGGGUGAGUAACACGUGGAUAACCUACCUAUAAGACUGGGAUAACUUCGGGAAACCGGAGCUAAUACCGGAUAAUAUAUUGAACCGCAUGGUUCAAUAGUGAAAGACGGUUUUGCUGUCACUUAUAGAUGGAUCCGCGCCGCAUUAGCUAGUUGGUAAGGUAACGGCUUACCAAGGCAACGAUGCGUAGCCGACCUGAGAGGGUGAUCGGCCACACUGGAACUGAGACACGGUCCAGACUCCUACGGGAGGCAGCAGUAGGGAAUCUUCCGCAAUGGGCGAAAGCCUGACGGAGCAACGCCGCGUGAGCGAUGAAGGUCUUCGGAUCGUAAAACUCUGUUAUUAGGGAAGAACAAAUGUGUAAGUAACUAUGCACGUCCUGACGGUACCUAAUCAGAAAGCCACGGCUAACUACGUG
Molecule: ribosomal RNA, 497 nt
Filed under: uncultured bacterium
Lineage: Bacteria
Description: partial 16S ribosomal RNA
Rfam family: Bacterial small subunit ribosomal RNA
Source: RNAcentral